RNAcentral lists this ribosomal RNA (501 nucleotides) under uncultured bacterium. Its description in RNAcentral is "partial 16S ribosomal RNA". It matches the Rfam family "Bacterial small subunit ribosomal RNA", at positions 30 to 523 of the family's 1533-position model. The record is from RNAcentral.
AUUGAACGCUGGCGGCAGGCUUAACACAUGCAAGUCGAGCGGGGGGAAGUAGCUUGCUACCGGACCUAGCGGCGGACGGGUGAGUAAUGCUUAGGAAUCUGCCUAUUAGUGGGGGACAACAUCUCGAAAGGGAUGCUAAUACCGCAUACGUCCUACGGGAGAAAGCAGGGGAUCUUCGGACCUUGCGCUAAUAGAUGAGCCUAAGUCGGAUUAGCUAGUUGGUGGGGUAAAGGCCUACCAAGGCGACGAUCUGUAGCGGGUCUGAAAGGAUGAUCCGCCACACUGGGACUGAGACACGGCCCAGACUCCUACGGGAGGCAGCAGUGGGGAAUAUUGGACAAUGGGGGGAACCCUGAUCCAGCCAUGCCGCGUGUGUGAAGAAGGCCUUAUGGUUGUAAAGCACUUUAAGCGAGGAGGAGGCUACUUUAGUUAAUACCUAGAGAUAGUGGACGUUACUCGCAGAAUAAGCACCGGCUAACUCUGUGCCAGCCGCCGCGGUAA